UACAGAGGGUGCAAGCGUUAAUCGGAAUUACUGGGCGUAAAGCGUGCGUAGUCGGUUAUCUAAGUCGGGUGUGAAAUCCCCGGGCUCAACCUGGGAAUUGCAUUCGAUACUGGAUAGCUAGAGUUCGGCAGAGGGAAGCGGAAUUUCGGGUGUAGCGGUGAAAUGCGUAGAUAUCUGGAGGAACACCGGUGGCGAAGGCGGCGUUCUGGACUGUUUCUGACACUGAAUAACGAAAGCCAGGGGAGCAAACGGG
RNAcentral lists this ribosomal RNA (253 nucleotides) under uncultured bacterium. RNAcentral's name for it is "partial 16S ribosomal RNA". It matches the Rfam family "Bacterial small subunit ribosomal RNA", at positions 524 to 776 of the family's 1533-position model. The record is from RNAcentral.